UGUCGUGGCGCCGAGUCUGAUUGUCGCUGCCAUUCAGCGAGAGCCAGGUGGGGCGUCCACCCCAGAACCCCCUUUUCAAGACCCCGCCAAGUCAGCCCGCUCCGCAGGGUCCCAAUUCAAGACCUAAAACUGCACCUGGAGAUCUAAACCCUAGUUCCGCACAGCUCUACCGAUCGAGCGCCUCCGCUUCCUCCCCUGUGAACUGGCUCCCCUGUAACCACCGGCCCCUGGAGGCUUGGCCCAGCCCUCAGUGCUCAAGAAGCCGGGGUCACGGCAUGGGGGGCGAGCAGGCAUGAAGAAAGGGAAGAGGCCAGCUUGGCAGAAACUCAGCAAGGCCUGGCCACUGGUUGGCACCCAGGAGGCCAUGCUGCCUGCCAUGAGGCUGCCCAGCCUGAGCUGAGAUGGGGGGUCCACAGAACGAGGGCUGGCUGGUGAGAGAGGCUGGACCGUUGAGCCUGGGCAGGGCCCUGGGGAAGCCAUUACAAACCUAGGGAGGCGGGCACUGCUAGGAAGAGUCCCAGCCCUGGGCCUCCACUUUCUCAUUCGUGCAAUGAAGGAGGUGGACUAGAUAAUCCUGAGGCCCUUCCAGCGCAAAUCCCAGAAUCCUAGCUACUGGGCAAAACUAAAUCCAGCAAUCCCUCCGUUUAACCACAGGGUCUGCAGACCUGGCUCCCUGCACACUGGCACCUCGGGCUAGACAAGGCCUGUGAGUGCAUGUGCAUUGUUCUCUCUCACCGAGAUGAAUGGAUAAAGCAGCUAUUGAGGGCACAGGCAGAAGAAAACUGGGUGAACUGCAAUGCGUUCAAUUUAAACUAUCGAUUUCCCAGACUUCUUUGCAAUGAGGGGUGUCCAUAUGACCCAACUCUGGCCAAGGAGAUGGGAACAGAACUGUCCUGAGUGAGAAUUCUAAGAAAGACACAGUAGUAUGUACCUUUUGCCCUUGACUUUUUUUCUUCCUGCUCCUCCCCCUCCUCCUCCUCCUUCUCCUCUUAUUUCUCAGAAACAUGGAUGUGAUGCCUGGAGGGGAAGCAGCCAUCUUGCAACCAGGAAGAAAGAAGUCUCCUACUAAGGAGGUCGGACAGGCAGCCAUCAACAACAUCUGAAUGACUUCAUUGUGGAGUUCUGGCUUCUUGAGAAAAUUCAGCUCCUAUUACAUACAUGUGCAGUAGCUCGUUAUGUGUUCCGUGCAGGUAGCACGGCCCUACCUGAUACGAGUGAGGGCCCAGCUGGGAGGACAGCGUUUCAUCCUGAGAAAGCCCCUCCCCUGGAAGACCUCCCUGCCAGGCACAGCCCCACGGGCACAGGCUGGCACAGCCAGCAUGUCGAGGACACACACUCCACCAGCUCUCCUCUUGGAGUGGGUCCUGCAUGGCCCCUUCCCUUCGCUACCUUGAUGCCAAGGCCUUAAUUGGGGGGAAGGGAAGAAAGCAGAGGCCGCCAUAGCGGGAAAGUCGGAAAUAAAAUCUCCCUCUGCCUUCCCCCCCAGGAAAAAAACAAGCCGUGACAAAGUCUGGAUGAGGUUUGUUUUGAAGUGAAAAAUCCACGCCAGUUCCAUUAGUUUGGAAAACCAGUUGCUGCCUGAAUAACUGAAACCUGUCCUAUAAGCGUGAACUGUCACCUCAAGGUGCUGGCCUCUAAUUGUGAGCACACGUCGGCCAGAGCUGCUGGUUCUCCAGACUGGAGCACGUGACGCCUCCUCCCCCAGCCCUUCCACUCUGACAAUAUGCCACCAUUGCCGCUCCCAGUGAUGCCCCUGGGAGAAAGCCAAGCGAUGCUGCCCUUCGGAGAUAAUGGCGUUGGAAAUGCAAUGCUAAUGGCUCCCCAGACAAGACCAGAAUAGCCUCGUGUUCUGCCUUCCUGGCGCACAGAGGCCGCAGCCUGUGAGCAUCCGCAGGCGCCUCACGCCCCGCCCUCCCCGAGUGCCCGGAGCCAGCUUCAUGGCGAGAGCCACCUGUUCAUCAUCAUAGAGUUUUGUCCAACCCGCUGGAUGGGCUCAGAGCAGAGGCGCAGCUGAGUGUUUGAGCCAGGAGAACCUGCGGCCCAGCAGGCACCUCCAUUCAGACUAUAAACUCGCUUUGCAAGUUGAUCAUCACCCACUAACUGGGCCAUGUUUGCCAUGCAGUAAAGAUGGAUUUGAAUCCACUUAUUUUCUUUUGCACCCCAGCUCCCACCCCCACCCAAAGCCUGAGCUGGUGUUUAAGAAAACAAUAAAAAUGACGUGGGCUGGUGGACUGUUGACCUUCUUUAUAUGGAAGUCACGUGAAGGCUGCAGACCAACUGCCAGGGGCAAGAGGAACGUCCCUGCACUUCUCCCAGGAGGCCUGGCGUCCCGGGGCUGCUGCUGGCCUGUCUUGGGAAGGGGGCUCAAUUCUGAUGACAGUGGGCAUUCAAGAAGGAUGCUGGGCAGGACUUGUAUCCAAGCUGAGGUGUGGCUGGUGGAGUCGAUGGGUAUCAAGCUCGCUAUUCUGGCCAUUCGCUGGAACAGCCCUGGGCGCACCCACUCCCUGACACAUUGUUAGAACCCACAACUGUCCUCCUACGUUGAACUCACAACUUCCUGCUUUAGCCCUGGGAGGAGGGCUGCAGCGGUUAGCCUGGGAAUCAACCGAAUUGCCAACUCUCAGAUGAGAUCUGCAAUUCAUGCCUUAGAUUUUGUAUGCCACCUCUGGGCAGCCAGCUGCUCGGCAAGGCAGAGCGCCUGCCGGAGAGAGACCGGGUGGAGGCGACCCUGACGCCUUGGAUGUCCCGUCCCAGCUCGGGCUGAAGGCAGCCCCUGGAGCGAGCCGACCACAGACCUCUCAGCGGCCGGCCCGGCUCCUACCCCUCGGACCAGGAGAGCAUCGCGAGGUGGUGCUUUAAACACCAACUGGGGAGCAUUUUGUUCGCAGCAACAGAUGGCUAACAGGAGGCGAUGGGCCACCCAUGAGCCAGAUGCUCCGGAGGUGGGGCCUGCGCAUCAGCAUUUUAACAGGCCCCGCUGCCCCUGAGAGGGGACUGAUUGGCUCAGCCCCAUAACCCGUUCUCGGCCCGGGCGGACCAGAGCGAGGCCUCCCGAGAAUGGGUCCGGCCACUUGCCCUUGCCCACUCACCUCUCAGGGUGUCUGUCACAUGCUGCCUGAACUCAUGGAAAACAUUUAAAAAUAUUAACUAAGCUGUGGCCCUGUGAGUGCUGAUUAUUCAUGUCCUGAUGAAGGUAAACAGGUGAAAAGCAUCCAAGGCAAGAGGUGGGACUGAUCAGGGACAUCUUCCGGGGGGAGCUGGCCUGGAGCAGGAGGCUGGGCCUGGAGGGAGGCCCCGGGCUGCAAGGCGAUGGGCUGGCAGUAAGGCUGGUCUGGCUGGCAGGUUCAGAAAGUCCUGCUGGGGAGGAACAGGGUUUUGAAGUUUCCAUUCAGGCUCCAUUUUUCUUCUCUGGUUCUCCCACCAGCAGAGGGAGAGAGGACUGGCUGGUGCCCAGGUGCCAGGGCCUGUGACAGACUCCCUCAGGCCCCGCUGCCGGCCCCACUGUGCUGAUGAGAAAGCUGACCGGGGCCUGGAGAGGCAGCCCCGGAGCCAAACCAGCAAGACCCAGGGCUUCCAAACCUGGUGGCAGGAUCCCGCUCUCUGCCCCAGCCAGCCCCCGCCCCUGUCAUUAGAGGAGGCCUCAGAGACCCAUCCAGCUGUAGCUCCCAUUCUCUCCUAAGGACCCCUGUGCGAGGGGCGCACACUUUGUGCUACCAGCUGCCCUUGCUGAGGACAGAACAAGAGAGAAGGGAUGUGGCUUGUAGCGGGAGAGGUCAGCCAGGCAGAGGGAAGACCUCCGGGUCCCAUGGGCAAAAUGAGCGACGUUGGCCAAUUUAUUCCUCUGGCAAACAUUUCUUGCUCAGCGAGAGGUGACGAUGCUACCUGCAGCGUCCAGGCCAAAGAACAGCUUCUCUGGAGAGGUGGGAGGGGGCGUGAUGGUGGCUUGCUGGAGCCCAUGCCGCUGGUCCUGAGCAGGCGCCCCGCUUCCUGGCCUGUGAGGAGGUAUUGGUGACAUUGUCUGUCCCAGGGGCGGGCGUGAGGGCCAGUUGAGAUAACACAUGGACAAUACCCACCACUG
This is a long non-coding RNA of Myotis brandtii (Brandt's bat), 4078 nucleotides long. RefSeq lists it as uncharacterized. NCBI's taxonomy places the organism in Eukaryota, Metazoa, Chordata, Mammalia, Chiroptera, Vespertilionidae. The record is from RefSeq and is a predicted model, not a curated record. The transcript is spliced from 6 exons.